AUGGCAUUGACGAAUAUGUUGUGGAUUGUUUUGAGUUCUGCAUACCUUUGUGUCCCACACAUAAGAAUUUAUCAUCUACCUAAAAGCUAUCACAUAAAAAUAAAAGCGCCAAGUGAGAGCUACAGACAAGAAUGGUCCUUCAUACAUGUUCAUGGCAACACCUACCUGGUAGCUCUAUUACAAUGGCCUAGAGAAGUUACCUUGCUUGCAUUUAUAAAACUAGUAAGUGACUGAUUAAAUAUUUGUUGGGAUGUGAAUGUGAGUUCAUGGAUUACACUAAUUUUUAUUUAAUGCAAUUGAAGAAUUAACCACUUUGAGAGUCAAAUGAAUAGUUCCACACUGCUCCACUACUCUAAUUUGCUAACUUAGCUAAUUUUUAAUGUGUAUGAGAAUGGUGAUAAACUAAUAUUACCUCUUCUAAGUAACAUAUUUUCAUUUAAAACUGGCACUAGGGUGGGGUGCUUGCCUGGCUCAGUCUGUUGGGCAUGAAACUCUUGAUCUUGGGGUUGUAGGUUUGAGCCCUCAUUGGAUGAAGAGAUUCCUUAAAAAUUCACAUCAUCUCAUGGGUAGGGGUUUAGAGAAGGGAGUGGUUGAGCCCACUUAUCUGUGUUUGGUUCUGAGAAUUGCCCAUAUUGAUUUACUUCAUCUACCGUACCCUAACCCCAGAAUGAAAAAUAUUAUGUAAUUGUUAUGUUGUGAUAGUUUAUCUUAGUAGUAGUGAGGAAUGUUUUUAACUUCUUUGGGAAAAAAAGGACUUAAAAGACUGACUCUAUUAUAUAUCCAUAUGUCAGAAUUUCAUUGAUAUUGUCCUUUUGAAAAAAGAUUUUUUUUUUGUUUGAGAGCAAGAGAGAGAAAGGAGGAGAGUGCACAUGUGCAUGGGGGCGAGAGGCAGAGGGAGAGGGAGAAGCAGGUCCCUCCUGAGCAGGGAGCCCAAUGUGGGGCUCAAUCCCAGGACCCUGAGAUCAUGACCUGAGCUGAAGGCAGACGUUCAACCAACUGAGCCACCCAGGUGUCC
RNAcentral lists this long non-coding RNA (1015 nucleotides) under Canis lupus familiaris (dog). RNAcentral's name for it is "lncRNA (ENSCAFG00000054187.1)". The record is from RNAcentral. Lineage: Eukaryota; Metazoa; Chordata; Mammalia; Carnivora; Canidae.